AGAGUUUGAUCCUGGCUCAGGAUGAACGCUGGCGGCGUGCUUAACACAUGCAAGUCGAACGAUCCUUCGGGAUAGUGGCGGACGGGUGAGUAACGCGUGGGAAUCUGCCCUCAGGAGGGGGAUAACGGCUGGAAACGGCCGCUAAUACCCCAUAUGCCGAGAGGUGAAAUGAAUUUCGCCUGAGGAUGAGCCCGCGUCUGAUUAGCUAGUUGGUGGGGUAAUGGCCUACCAAGGCAACGAUCAGUAGCUGGUCUGAGAGGAUGAUCAGCCACACUGGGACUGAGACACGGCCCAGACUCCUACGGGAGGCAGCAGUGGGGAAUUUUCCGCAAUGGGCGAAAGCCUGACGGAGCAACGCCGCGUGAGGGAUGAAGGCCUCUGGGCUGUAAACCUCUUUUCUCAAGGAAGAAGACCUGACGGUACUUGAGGAAUAAGCCACGGCUAAUUCCGUGCCAGCAGCCGCGGUAAUACGGGAGUGGCAAGCGUUAUCCGGAAUUAUUGGGCGUAAAGCGUCCGCAGGCGGCCUUGUAAGUCUGUUGUUAAAGCGUGGAGCUCAACUCCAUUUAAGCAAUGGAAACUACAAGGCUGGAGUGUGGUAGGGGCAGAGGGAAUUCCCGGUGUAGCGGUGAAAUGCGUAGAUAUCGGGAAGAACACCAGUGGCGAAGGCGCUCUGCUGGGCCAUAACUGACGCUCAUGGACGAAAGCCAGGGGAGCGAAAGGGAUUAGAUACCCCUGUAGUCCUGGCCGUAAACGAUGAACACUAGGUGUCGGGGGAAUUGACCCCCUCGGUGUCGUAGCCAACGCGUUAAGUGUUCCGCCUGGGGAGUACGCACGCAAGUGUGAAACUCAAAGGAAUUGACGGGGGCCCGCACAAGCGGUGGAGUAUGUGGUUUAAUUCGAUGCAACGCGAAGAACCUUACCAGGGUUUGACAUCCUGCGAACCCCUGAGAAAUCGGGGGGUGCCUUCGGGAGCGCAGAGACAGGUGGUGCAUGGCUGCCGUCAGCUCGUGUCGUGAGAUGUUGGGUUAAGUCCCGCAACGAGCGCAACCCACGUCUUUAGUUGCCAGCAUUCAGUUGGGCACUCUAGAGAGACCGCCGGUGAUAAACCGGAGGAAGGUGUGGAUGACGUCAAGUCAUCAUGCCCCUUACAUCCUGGGCUACACACGUACUACAAUGCUACGGACAAAGGGCAGCAAGCUCGCGAGAGUUAGCAAAUCCCAUAAACCGUGGCUCAGUUCAGAUCGUAGGCUGCAACUCGCCUACGUGAAGGAGGAAUCGCUAGUAAUCGCAGGUCAGCAUACUGCGGUGAAUACGUUCCCGGGCCUUGUACACACCGCCCGUCACACCAUGGAAGUUGGCCAUGCCCGAAGUCGUUACUCCAACCCUUGUGGAGGAGGACGCCGAAGGUGGGGCUGAUGACUGGGGUGAAGUCGUAACAAGGUA
Molecule: ribosomal RNA, 1443 nt
Filed under: metagenome
Description: bacterial SSU rRNA
Rfam family: Bacterial small subunit ribosomal RNA
Source: RNAcentral